AAGUGUGAGAAAUAAAACCGUAUCGGUGAAAGUAGCCUUGGACCACUUGUUUGGGAUUUGGAGUAUGAUAAAAAAAAUUAAGCCUGACGACGGAUGACAAAAGCUAUAUUUUUCCCACGGGUCAAGAAAACGAUUCAGAAAUGGAAAAGCUCGUGCUCCUUGCUGACAAGGAAUGGAAAAAAAACUCAACAUUCUAAUACAUUUUACUCCGAACGAGUCGAUUCUGUAUUGGCUACAAUAAUAGUCCGGCUGAUGGGAACAGCUGAUAGGGAACAGGCAGUAAGCAUGAUGGCGUUAUGGUUACGAAGUUUAGUCAAUGUAACUGCUGCUCAAUCAAAGCGAUCGAGAAAUUAUCAAGCAGAAUGUGAUCCAGAAAGAGAGCGACUCAGAGUCACAUAAAUAUCCUGGAGAUUCCAGUACUUUGAGCAGUAGGAUAAAGGAUUAUCUUUGAUAACUCUUCUGCUUCUACUGCAAUCCAUACGUGAGGAACAAAGCAAGCGGACCAGUAACGAAAUUUAGAAACUCCUAAUAGCUGCCAACGAAGCCAAUGGUGAUGAAACGGGGGCCGGCGGAGGAGAUCAAAUCCCAAGUUGGGGCUCAGCGCUCUUGUGAUCGAAUUUGGCCCUCUAUCGAAAUCGAGUACUUUUGUUCCUUUGAAGUGGUGUAUGACAUAUGCUGAUGCCAGUAGUCGUGAGUAUGUGCACGAUAGAGGAAGGCCUGUCCUGGCGCUGCUACUAAACUGCUUAUCAAACUUGUUCUAUGCACAAAAUUGAAAGCCAACUUUAUCCGGAAGAAUAAUGGAAUUCUGGUGGUGAAAUAUGGACAAUCUCAGGACAAUCAAUAUUUAACUUUCUAUAUAAGUUAUAUGAACGCUGAGUUUGGCCUAAAAUGCACCCCGUGAGGUACCGUGAGAGAAAAAGCAGAGCGACUUAAUAUCUAAAGGUUUAAACAUCUGUAUUUUUUU
Armigeres subalbatus is the source of this 964-nucleotide long non-coding RNA. RefSeq lists it as uncharacterized. The record is from RefSeq and is a predicted model, not a curated record. NCBI's taxonomy places the organism in Eukaryota, Metazoa, Arthropoda, Insecta, Diptera, Culicidae. The transcript has 3 exons.